UUUUUUCUUUUUUUUUUUGUCUUUUUUAUGCUAUUUCUUGGGCCGCUCCCGCGGCAUAUGGAGGUUCCCAGGCUAGGGGUCGAAUCGGAGCUGUAGCCACUGGCCUUCGCCAGAGCCACAGCAACGCGGGAUCCAAGCCGCGUCUGCAGCCUACACCACAGCUCAUGGCAACGCCGGAGCCUCAACCCACUGAGCAAGGGCAGGGACCGAACCCGCAACCUCAUGGUUCCUAGUCGGAUUCGUUAACCACUGCGCCACGACAGGAACUCCCGAAUCAGUUUUCUUAUUAGCAAAAUGUUAGUAAGACAGUAAUAAGAGAAAAAUAUAUUUCCCUAGGACAUGUUCUGUUAAUAAAUCACCUAAGAGAUCCCAGAAAAGAGGAAAAGAGCUAUCGUUUUUAUUCAGGCAUGGCACUGUGAAAUUUAAGGUAUAGUGAUAUCUACUGCUUGAGUCUAACAAUUGUCUUAACCAUUGGCAAGAUUUGCAGCUCAAAGGAGUGGAAGAGGUCUCUCUUUGUAUAUAAUAUACAAAGUUGCUAGAAAGUUUCAAGACGUUUAGUUUCCCCUGAAAUCUUAAGGACAUCACUUACCCAUCAGCUACUCUGAAGCUACCGGUCAGCAUCCUCAGAAUUUACCUUUCUUUAAAAAGGCAUAGAAGUGCUUAUAGAUGCUGUUCAUCUUAUUUCAUAAAACAGACCCAAGCUUCUCUCGUGGUGUAGAACAUACAAUAUAUAACACUUUACACUUGAUGGGCAGCUGUAGAUAAUACACUGUGAGGACAUUCAGAGAUGCUAACUUCUUUUAACCACAGGAGUCUAAAUCUCUGUUAAAAAGAGAACCAGAAAAGGCUGACUUAGACAUUUGACCCAGAAGAUGAUCUUCAUGCCCAGCUGAAGUUAAGAGCUUCUGCUCCCUCAGAAAGUGUGUGUCUUGAAGCAUCGUGCUGGGCACUGAGGAUGCUCAGAUAAAACAACUGGCCUCCAAUUCUCUGGCCUCUCUGAUGUUUCGGAAAGGAAUUGUUUCAAAAGAUGUACUUGGCAUAAUACCCUCAAGGUCCAUCCAUGUAGCAAAUGGCAAGAUUUCAUCUUAUGGCUGAGCAGUACUCCAUUAUACAGAGAUACCACGUCUUUGUCCAUUCAUCUCUUGAUGGGCAAUUAGGUAGUUUCCCUAUCUUGGCUAUUAUAAACAACUCUGUGAUGAACAUAAGGGUGCAUAUAUCUUUUUCUAAUUAGAGGGUAUUUUGUUAAGUAAAAUCAAUCAGAUGGAGAAAGACAAGGACCCCAUGAUUCCACUCAUAUGUGGAUUUUAAAACAAAAUACAACAAAAUAGAUGAACGAACCAAACCAAGUAGAUACAGGGACCAGAGUAGUAUGCGAAGAGGAUACGGAGGGAAGGGGGAGGGGAUGGGGAGGGUGAAACGGGUAAAGGGAAUCAACUGCAUGUUGAUGGAUGGAAACUAAACUUUUGGUGGCGAGCACGCUGUCGUCAUACAGAACUGAAAAUAGUUCCCUGUACUAGACAGCAGGCCCUUGUUCUUUAUCUAUCUUGUACUGAGCAGUUUGUAUCUGCUAAUCCCAAACUAUUAAUCUAUCCCUUCCCCUUUGGCAGCUAUAAAUUUGUUUUCUAUGUAAGUUCAUUUGCAUCAAAUUUUAGAUUCCACACAUAUGUAAUAUGAUUGGAUAUUUGUCUUGCUCUGACUUGCUUGGUAUGAUAAACUCUAGAUCCAUCCACACUGCUAUAAAUGGCAGUAUUUCAUUUUUUAUGGCUGAAUACACACACAUAUGUACACAUACAUACACCACAUCUUCUUUAUCCAUUCGUCUGUGGAUGAACACUUAAACAGUGCUGCCGUGAACACUGGGGUGCAUGGAUCUUUCAGAACCUAGUUUUCUCUAGACAUAUAUGCUCAGGAGUGGGAAACCUAGAUCAUAUGGUAAUUCUAUGUUUAGUUUUCAAGGAACCUCUGUAUUAUUUUUCCAUAAUGGCUACACCAAUUUACACUCCCACUCUGUGUAGGAGGGUUCCGUUUUCUCCACACCAUCUCCACCAAUUUAUUAUGUGUACAGUCUUUGGCGACUGUUCUUUGAGAACUGCAUAAAGCUCUGAAUCCUUUUCCCAAAAAAGAUGCAUCUAUUCAAACCUAUACCAAAUAUGUAGUGUAAAUUUUAGGGCAUUUACAACACCCCUUUGGAGACGCUUAAGAACCUCCUAACACAGAGUAAAUGAGGAAGAAGACUAAAACUGAAACCCUGAGGGACCCCAUCACUAAAAAGACUGGCAAAGAAUGACAGUCCAGCAAAGCAUAUUAGGGAUGACUAAUGAGACAGUUAGAUGGGAAGCCAGGAGAGAAUGACAUCAUGGAUUCGAGAAAAUUACACGUGUCCAGAAAUAGGAAAUAGGCAGCACUACCAAAUGCUGUUCAGAAGUUACACGGAAUGCGAAUUAAACACAGGCCAUCAGUGUUCACUGGUCUAGAGCUGCUAGUCCAGAAGCCAGACUCUGAUAAUAAGAUGAGAAAAUGCAGAAGAAGAUUUGGAAUGCAUACAGACACAUUUGCAAGAAACCUGGGCAACAAGAGCGUUUGAAUGAAUAACAGAGGUAAGACAACAGAUUUUUAUUGACUGUUUACCCACAGGUUAAGGACAAAACGUGAGCAUGCUUUUUGGUUGGAGGGAAAGAGCAGAGGAAAAAGACUGAGAGAAAGAGAAGAUGAACAUUAAUUCAGUAACCUUAGAAUUCAUCAGGCUGAUGUUGUAGAGGAGGAUGGUCGUUUUCAAUGAGAUUGAACAGAAAGAAAUCCUCUCAGCUGUAGAUAAUAUUGACUAUGAUGGAGAGAGAAGAUUGUACUGGAUGGCAUUUACCUUCUCUGUACAUUAUAAGCGAAGGUGAGAUGGUGUUAAGUGUUAAUGGCAGAGGUGGAAAAGGUAGGCUCAUGUCACACAUACUGGUACACUAUUCCUUUUCCCCAUCCCAUGCCAAAUACCCAGCACAAUGCACAGCGCACAACAAAAGCUCGAUAAACACCGAAUGACUCCAAUUUUAGGAAUUGAGGCACAGAGCAAAAUGCAGAACAGCUGACAUGUCCAAUGAGCAUAAAAGCUGACCAGGGAAAGGGCAAAGGUGGCACAACUAUUUUACGGUGUCCUUAAAAACAGAUGCCCUAUUCAGUGCUCUGGGGUGCUCUGCAGGCAUCUUAGCAGGAAAAGAUACACAGCCUUCUCAGGAGCGAGUCAAUUCUGCCCUCCUCAAACAUCCUUAGAAAACAGGUAUCCCUUUAAUGAAUAAGGAAUGGCUGACAGUUGGUAGAUAAGACAUGUAACUUUCUUAUCCAACACUCAAUACCCUUCAGCAGAGAGGGACAACACAGAAAAAUUAGUUAAUUACACUGUCAGUUGGCCGCUUGGCUCUGCAGACCACACAAAAGAAAGCAGCAAGCAAGAGGGCCAGCAGACUUCUCUACAGCAUGUGUCAGUCUAGAUAAACGAGAGGGCUAGGUAAUCUGUGCUUUGGAUUCUACAGAUGACGUCCUCAUGUCCUAAAACCAUUCAAAUCUGAAAACAAAAAUCCCUCUCAAAUCCACAAUAAUGGCCACUGAACAACAGGGACUGGAAGGCAUAUUAUUCAGUCUCUUC
Molecule: long non-coding RNA, 3631 nt
Filed under: Sus scrofa (pig)
Lineage: Eukaryota; Metazoa; Chordata; Mammalia; Artiodactyla; Suidae
Description: lncRNA (ENSSSCG00030012918.1)
Source: RNAcentral